Molecule: ribosomal RNA, 460 nt
Filed under: uncultured bacterium
Lineage: Bacteria
Description: partial 16S ribosomal RNA
Rfam family: Bacterial small subunit ribosomal RNA
Source: RNAcentral
CCUACGGGGGGCAGCAGUGAGGAAUAUUGGGCAAUGGGCGCGAGCCUGAACCAGCCAAGUAGCGUGAAGGAUGACUGCCCUACGGGUUGUAAACUUCUUUUAUAUGGGAAUAAAGUGAGGAACUUGUUCCUUUUUGUAUGUACCAUAUGAAUAAGCAUCGGCUAACUCCGUGCCAGCAGCCGCGGUAAUACGGAGGAUGCGAGCGUUAUCCGGAUUUAUUGGGUUUAAAGGCUGCGUAGGUGGUUAAUUAAGUCAGCGGUGAAAGUUUGUGGCUCAACCAUAACAUUGCCGUUGAAACUGGUUGUCUUGAGUAUAUUUGAGGUAGGCGGAAUGCGUGGUGUAGCGGUGAAAUGCAUAGAUAUCACGCAGAACUCCGAUUGCGAAGGCAGCUUACUAAACUAUAACUGACACUGAAGCACGAAAGCGUGGGGAUCAAACAGGAUUAGAUACCCCAGUAGUC